GCAGAAGAAGUUGUAGAAAACAUUCAGUCAGCCAAAUUCACUUUGACAAUACAUGACACAGUAGUUUGAUCCCAUCAUAAAUGGUUCUUAUAUUAAGUAGAAUGAUUAUUAAGGAGAAAAAAACACAAUUAUAUGGCAUAAUUAAUCAAAUCAAUCCAUUUUCUUCUAGAUGAUACCCAUUAUCAUUGGCUUCUUUAUCCCAAAAAUCCUCCUUCAUAUAAUGCUCAAACUUCACAACCGCACUCUCUGGCAGCGACACGAGCACGGUGACCGCUUCAUCAUCGCCAAUAACCGGCAAAAACAAGCAGUAAAUGUCACUAGUCAAAGGCCCCAUAUGCAAUGGCUUCCCUUCUCCAAAAUCCAAAUCCUCUAAUCCUAAUUUUGACCACUGAGAGAUGACCAAACUUGCCGAAAGGUCAGUUUUUACGGUUUUAUCCUCCAAGAAAUCAAUCAUUGACCUCACAUAAUCAUCGUUUAAACAAGAUUUAGCAUGUUGAACCAACUUCACCCCAUGAUGCAAAGUACUAGAGACCAAAUCCUUAACAUAGGUCUGAGCACACCCAAGGACGAAUCCAUUGCCAUAAUACCCUGGUGGUAUUUCUGGGAUUAACUUUUUCCUGACGUUAACUGAGAAAAGGAGCUUGACGUUGAGGGCAGAUGGCAAGUCCAGUGAUCUAACCCAACAGCGCCACGCGUGUGAUGCCAGUAUUUCGAAGGUGGUACACUUGAGUGAGGGCACGCACUGCCUCUUGAGGUGGAGGAUAUGAGACGUGCUAAAGGUUAAGGAAGCGGGCACCAGUGGCUGAGACUGUAAAUAGUGGUUAAGGCACAAGGCCGGUUGUGGUUCAGUGUCCGCAGUUCUGACAUAACUAGGAUGAGUGAAGGUAACUUGUAGGGGAUUUCGGGGUUUUAACACGUAUCGGGAAUGAAACGGCACGAUUGGAAGAUCAUGAUUCGGUUUUGUGGUGAAGUGGGUCCAUGCCUGCAAGAACUGGGAUGUGCCUAUACCGUCACAUACGCAGUGAUUAACUCCUGUGCUUAUUAUCAUUCCUCCGCACCGCAGAUUCGUUACCUGAACGACAAGAGGAGGAAUAUCCAAGAAGCUCUGGGCUUCCACUCUAUACAAAAGCUUUCUCCAAGACCUGUUUGGUUUGCUAGAAAGUUCAAGAAACUGUUCAGCUGUGAUAUCCAUGAAAGCUUCAGCAAAGACCGCACCUUCUCCAUUGCAAUCAACCUCAAGCUUCUGAUCGUCUUCUUUGCUGGUUCUCAACCUCCCGGCUAAUGGGUAGUACUCCACGAGAACUUUAGAGAGUGAAUAUUUCAAGAUAUCUGAGCUCACAGAUUUUUUGAAAAGGUAGAGAUAUUUAAUGGAGAAUCUAAGGAACUUUUGAUCAUCAAGAUUGGAGAGAUAUAGAGAAUGGUUUGGGGUAGGGAUAGAAGGGGAGAUUAGAACUGGUUGGUUUUGAUACAAACAAUCCGGGAGGUCUGGAGAUUUGAACAUGUUUGCCAGUUGUUGUUCUUCGGUUCAAGUGUUAAUUUGUUGAAGAUGAUACAGAAGUUUAUAGAGAGGGAGAGAGAGGUUUGAAGACAAGAAAAACAGAGAUCUACGGCUGGAUAUGGUGAGGGUACGAUGAGAUUCCUUUUAGGAAGGGGUGAG
RNAcentral lists this unclassified non-coding RNA (1657 nucleotides) under Hevea brasiliensis (rubber tree). Lineage: Eukaryota; Viridiplantae; Streptophyta; Magnoliopsida; Malpighiales; Euphorbiaceae. The record is from RNAcentral.